CUGGUGGAUUAGUGGCGAACGGGUGAGUAACACGUGAGUAACCUGCCCUUAACUCUGGGAUAAGCCUGGGAAACUGGGUCUAAUACCGGAUAUGACUCCUCAUCGCAUGGUGGGGGGUGGAAAGCUUUUUUGUGGUUUUGGAUGGACUCGCGGCCUAUCAGCUUGUUGGUGAGGUAAUGGCUUACCAAGGCGACGACGGGUAGCCGGCCUGAGAGGGUGACCGGCCACACUGGGACUGAGACACGGCCCAGACUCCUACGGGAGGCAGCAGUGGGGAAUAUUGCACAAUGGGCGGAAGCCUGAUGCAGCGACGCCGCGUGAGGGAUGACGGCCUUCGGGUUGUAAACCUCUUUCAGUAGGGAAGAAGCGAAAGUGACGGUACCUGCAGAAGAAGCGCCGGCUAACUACGUGCCAGCAGCCGCGGUAAUACGUAGGGCGCAAGCGUUAUCCGGAAUUAUUGGGCGUAAAGAGCUCGUAGGCGGUUUGUCGCGUCUGCCGUGAAAGUCCGGGGCUCAACUCCGGAUCUGCGGUGGGUACGGGCAGACUAGAGUGAUGUAGGGGAGACUGGAAUUCCUGGUGUAGCGGUGAAAUGCGCAGAUAUCAGGAGGAACACCGAUGGCGAAGGCAGGUCUCUGGGCAUUAACUGACGCUGAGGAGCGAAAGCAUGGGGAGCGAACAGGAUUAGAUACCCUGGUAGUCCAUGCCGUAAACGUUGGGCACUAGGUGUGGGGGACAUUCCACGUUUUCCGCG
RNAcentral lists this ribosomal RNA (751 nucleotides) under Arthrobacter sp. RNAcentral's name for it is "bacterial SSU rRNA". It matches the Rfam family "Bacterial small subunit ribosomal RNA", at positions 84 to 845 of the family's 1533-position model. Lineage: Bacteria; Bacillati; Actinomycetota; Actinomycetes; Micrococcales; Micrococcaceae. The record is from RNAcentral.